RNAcentral lists this ribosomal RNA (1095 nucleotides) under Triticum aestivum (bread wheat). RNAcentral's name for it is "partial small subunit ribosomal RNA". The record is from RNAcentral. Lineage: Eukaryota; Viridiplantae; Streptophyta; Magnoliopsida; Poales; Poaceae.
AUGAAAAGGAAGGGACAUAUACACCCAGACCACAACCUGGGUGUUAAUCCUGAUCUAUUCCUACGCCCUAGGGUUUCUCACCUGUGGUGCGAUCCUCCCCCCGCCGCCGCAAACCAGAGCAGCGCACCUCCUACCGCAACCAUGGCGGAUCGUUUCGACUUGGAGAGAGGUGGGGGUGGAAGAGAGGUUGAUAGGGGUAACAAUUGGAGAUCGGGAAGUGGUUAUGGAAGGGAUGCUCAAUUUGAUCGCCAUGAUCAAGGGUUUCAAGCUCGUCCUCGCCCUCCCUUCAGGAAUUUCCCAGGCAAUCAAUUUCAGAGAGAUGGAUACAAUAACUGGAAUCAUGAAGGGGGUGGCAGCUGGGACUCGCGUCAGUUUCAUCAUAGACCGCCACGGCAGUUCAAUUUGCCGCCUGCUGCCAGUAAGUAUCAGCUGAAGAACUCCACAGUGGCUAGCGGUGGAGGAGCUACAGGGAGUGAAAUUCAGACAUCAAAAACUGUGUCUACAAGUGCAGUGCAGACUGGCGAUCCGAGAGGGGCAGGUGGAUCUGACAACAAAAACCCUGGAUCAGAAAAGAUCAUCUGCCACAAGUGUGGGGAGAAAGGGCAUAACUCCAAGGGAUGUGAAGCGAAGGUCAAGUGCUCUAUCUGUACCAAAGAUACACAUGUUGCAGAGUUCUGUGCCUGGCUACGUCAAAAAAAGCCGGUAGCUUCUCUGGUGGGUUUUGGUGGCGAAGGAUUGGGCAUAUUUGUGGCUGAGCAUGCAAAAGAUUUGGUUGGGAAUAAUAAGAAUGAUGUUGUUGCUUUAGUGAGGCUGAGAGAAGGAUGUGAUUUGGACAUUGAACCAGAGGUCCUAAUCAAGAGUCUGGCGAAAACAUACCCUUGGCAAUGGGAAUGGAAAGCGAAGAAGGUAUCGGAUGGAGUCUUUCUUGUCAAUUUCCCUUCUGCAACAAGAAUCAACGAAGUUGCCAUCUACGACUGGGUUCCGCUGAAAGGAGGUAACAUCUUGGUUAAUAUGAGGAUUUGGAAUGACGAUGCUAUGGCUGUGGGAAAACUUCAGUGGUGUGGGUCAGAGCCAAAGGUGUUCCAAAAACAAUGA